This 800-nucleotide long non-coding RNA is filed under the name Vigna radiata. RNAcentral's name for it is "long non-coding RNA (VRAD_LNC010682)". The record is from RNAcentral. Lineage: Eukaryota; Viridiplantae; Streptophyta; Magnoliopsida; Fabales; Fabaceae.
GUUGAUGUUGAUGUUUAUUGUCAUGUUUAAACUAUUGCUUUGAAUGACUGCCCUGAGUUAACACCAUUCUAAAAGCUGCAUGUCUCCUUAAAGCCUCUUAUGACAGUGUUAGUAACCAUCUUUUGGCUGUUUCGUUCAAAAGUAUAUACUAUGUAACACCUUUUUGAUUGAUUUGCCUAAAAACAAAAGUUUAGUAAUUGUCAUUUUCCUUCUGCUGCAAACCUCACUAAUUUAACCACACACGCAUGGACCCCACACUAAUUACACAACAUUUUCAAAUAACCAUGUGCAUGUCACAUUUCUUCAUAAGAUAUAGACUGAUAUAUAUACAUUCAGCUUUCUUUUCUGAUAUAUGCGAUUAAAUUUAAGACAGUUCUUAUUUAAAAUCGAUAAAUUUGUAGUCUUUCGUUUCAUUUCUUUAUGCAGUAAUCAGCAUCCAGACCUUACGUAAGCAGCAGCGCAUUAGUUGGAUGUUUUGUUUGAUGAAAUGAAAAGAAGGGAAGAAAAAGGGUGUUGGAGUGUGAUGAGAGAAGAAAUAAAGAAGAAAAGUAAGAAUGGAAUAGAGUGCAGAGGGAAAGUUUCUUCGCAUAUAAGCAAAUUAAAUGAAGAGAUGAUGAAAGGCUGACAUGGUAAAACAUGUUUUCUUUUCUUGAAGAAAGAACAGAAGGGAAGAGAUUAAGAAAAGAAACAAAAAUGGUGCCAAGUGUCGCUGUAGGCAAAACCAGAAGGCAACCAAGACACCAAUAGCAUAGCAUUCAGAGAAUGGAAUUCGAGAGCCUUGCAUUGCAUGUCAUGUGAGU